Peromyscus maniculatus bairdii (prairie deer mouse) is the source of this 1722-nucleotide non-coding RNA. The record is from RefSeq and is a predicted model, not a curated record. NCBI's taxonomy places the organism in Eukaryota, Metazoa, Chordata, Mammalia, Rodentia, Cricetidae.
AAGAGUAGGAGUCAUUGCCAUGGGAAAGCAGUAGGCCUCGGUGUGAGGGCAACGCAGUGUCCACUGGGGUUGGCUGCGCACCUAUUAAAAGUUGGGCAAGAUGGCUGCUUGGAUUCCUGGUGAGACGUCAGAGCAGCAGAAAUGCAAGAACAUCUGCAGAGUGGCAUGUCAUAUCAAGUCUCAGGGGGAGGUCUCUGGAGGAACCUGUCCAUUCAGCACCUGGACUGAGUCAAGGCUCUGGCCCACAGAAGGUUGAAGAUCAGCUAUUUCCACUACCCGCCAGUGACAUGCCCUUCGGGAGCACAUGCUCCCCGACAUAGAAAAGGAGACGGCAGCUGAGACAGAGCCAGCACCUGACUCCACUUUCCAAAAUGAAGCAGGGUGAAGCUCUGCUGUUACGCUGUUCUUCGGUGAGUGACGGUCUCAGAAGUCAUCAGCGCCACGCGGGGCCAAGGAGGGAAAACCUCAGGGCAUCCUGCUUUCCGGAAAAUCCCAUUCCAAGUUGUGUUUAAUGAUGGUGAAGGGACAGAAAGACUGAAUGAAGAUCAAGGUCAGUGACAAAAGAGCUUUGGGUAAAUCUGGACUCAGAAAAAUCCACAGCCUCAACCCUAAAGAGAAGAAGGUAGUGACAGUCCCAGGUGAUCAAUGUACGCACACUAAACCCCAACCACAAAAAAGCCUGGAUACAGCCAUACAGCGAAGGUAGCCCAGGCCAAAUAAAUUCUGAAACAAACAAACAAAAACAUGCUAACAACCAAAAGAGAAAGUAACCCAGAAUCCAAAGAAGUCAAAAAGUAUGCUUGGGCAUAAGGCUGAACCCGAUGAAACCUGAGAGAGAAUAAAGCCAGAACUUCAAUAAGCAUUGGCUUUACCUUCACCCAAAGAGGUCUAGGCUGAAACUAAGAAUAAAAGUUUGUAUAGGCAAAAACAUGAACUGAAAGAGGACUGAGCCAAAACCUGACCCUGAAUUGAGAAGAGAAAUAUGAAAUGAAAGACUCCCAGCCAAAGCAAGAAAAGGAGAAUGCCCAGGCCUAACCCUUACCAUAACUGAAGUUGGGGCCUGAACCAAGAAGAGAGGUUGGCCCAAGUCCAGCCCUGCCAUUCCAGAAGCCCAGGCACAAACAAAGAAGAGAUGUGGGCCUGGGCUGUUUCUUCAAGUGAAGGAAGCCUGGGCCAAAGCAGGAAAGGAGUGUGCUCAGGCCUGACCCCUUUCCUGGCUGAAACCAGGGUCCAUACCAAGAAGAGAAAUGGUCCAGGCCCAUAUGUGACCCUGAAGAAACAAUGGUCCCCAAAAUGAGAAGCUGGCUCAGGCCAAUGCCUCAAAUGAAAGUGAAAUGCCUUGGGUAACCCUCACCAUAAAUAAGCCUGGGCUCAAACCAAGAAGACAGGUGAGUCUGGCCUAGUCCUUCAAAUGAAAGAUGCCAAGACAAAACCAAGGAAAUAUGAAUGCCUGGCCCUAAUCCUUGUCCUGAAGGAACCUGGGCACAAACCAAGAAAAUGAUUGGGCCUUGGGCAAUUACUGUCUCUGCAGAAGUAAUAGCAGAGACAUUGCUUAGAGAAGAGACUAGGCAAAAUCAAAAGUGAAAAUGUUACUGAGCCAACCACUGAGCUUGCUGAAGAUAGGCUCUGUCUUAGGGUUUCUAUUGCUGAGAAAAGACACCAUGGCCAUGGCAGCUCUUAUAAAGGAAAACAUUUAAUUGAGGUGGCUCAGUUUCAGGGUUU